UAAUGAUAUGACGUACUGUACUGAUUGAGAUUUAACACGAAGUGAGUGGCGAACGGGUGAGUAACACGUGGGUAACCUGCCCAGAAGUAGGGGAUAACACCUGGAAACAGAUGCUAAUACCGUAUAACAGAGAAAACCGCAUGGUUUUCUUUUAAAAGAUGGCUCUGCUAUCACUUCUGGAUGGACCCGCGGCGUAUUAGCUAGUUGGUGAGGUAAAGGCUCACCAAGGCAGUGAUACGUAGCCGACCUGAGAGGGUAAUCGGCCACAUUGGGACUGAGACACGGCCCAGACUCCUACGGGAGGCAGCAGUAGGGAAUCUUCCACAAUGGACGCAAGUCUGAUGGAGCAACGCCGCGUGAGUGAAGAAGGGUUUCGGCUCGUAAAGCUCUGUUGUUAAAGAAGAACGUGGGUAAGAGUAACUGUUUACCCAGUGACGGUAUUUAACCAGAAAGCCACGGCUAACUACGUGCCAGCAGCCGCGGUAAUACGUAGGUGGCAAGCGUUAUCCGGAUUUAUUGGGCGUAAAGCGAGCGCAGGCGGUCUUUUAAGUCUAAUGUGAAAGCCUUCGGCUCAACCGAAGAAGUGCAUUGGAAACUGGGAGACUUGAGUGCAGAAGAGGACAGUGGAACUCCAUGUGUAGCGGUGAAAUGCGUAGAUAUAUGGAAGAACACCAGUGGCGAAGGCGGCUGUCUGGUCUGCAACUGACGCUGAGGCUCGAAAGCAUGGGUAGCGAACAGGAUUAGAUACCCUGGUAGUCCAUGCCGUAAACGAUGAUUACUAAGUGUUGGAGGGUUUCCGCCCUUCAGUGCUGCAGCUAACGCAUUAAGUAAUCCGCCUGGGGAGUACGACCGCAAGGUUGAAACUCAAAAGAAUUGACGGGGGCCCGCACAAGCGGUGGAGCAUGUGGUUUAAUUCGAAGCUACGCGAAGAACCUUACCAGGUCUUGACAUCUUCUGACAGUCUAAGAGAUUAGAGGUUCCCUUCGGGGACAGAAUGACAGGUGGUGCAUGGUGUCGUCAGCUCG
RNAcentral lists this ribosomal RNA (1025 nucleotides) under Pediococcus pentosaceus. Its description in RNAcentral is "bacterial SSU rRNA". It matches the Rfam family "Bacterial small subunit ribosomal RNA", at positions 64 to 1062 of the family's 1533-position model. The record is from RNAcentral. Lineage: Bacteria; Bacillati; Bacillota; Bacilli; Lactobacillales; Lactobacillaceae.